RNAcentral lists this ribosomal RNA (439 nucleotides) under uncultured bacterium. RNAcentral describes it as "partial 16S ribosomal RNA". It matches the Rfam family "Bacterial small subunit ribosomal RNA", at positions 339 to 795 of the family's 1533-position model. The record is from RNAcentral.
CUACGGGGUGCUCCAGUGAGGAAUAUUGCACAAUGGGGGGAACCCUGAUGCAGCAACGCCGCGUGGAGGAUGACGCAUUUCGGUGUGUAAACUCCUUUUAUAUGUCAAGAAAAUGACGGUAGCAUAUGAAUAAGCACCGGCUAACUCCGUGCCAGCAGCCGCGGUAAUACGGAGGGUGCAAGCGUUACUCGGAAUCACUGGGCGUAAAGGACGCGUAGGCGGGCUUGUAAGUCAGGUGUGAAAUCCUACAGCUUAACUGGAGAACUGCACUUGAAACUACGAGCCUAGAGUAUGGGAGGGGGAGAUGGAAUUAGUGGUGUAGGGGUAAAAUCCGUAGAUAUCACUAGGAAUACCUAAAGCGAAGGCGAUCUCCUGGAACAUAACUGACGCUAAGGCGUGAAAGCGUGGGGAGCAAACAGGAUUAGAUACCCCCGUAGUC